RNAcentral lists this ribosomal RNA (487 nucleotides) under Corynebacterium matruchotii. Its description in RNAcentral is "bacterial SSU rRNA". It matches the Rfam family "Bacterial small subunit ribosomal RNA", at positions 28 to 500 of the family's 1533-position model. The record is from RNAcentral. Lineage: Bacteria; Bacillati; Actinomycetota; Actinomycetes; Mycobacteriales; Corynebacteriaceae.
GACGAACGCUGGCGGCGUGCUUAACACAUGCAAGUCGAACGGAAAGGCCGCAUCAUUUUUUUGGUGGGGUGCUCGAGUGGCGAACGGGUGAGUAACACGUGGGUGAUCUGCCCUGUACUUCGGGAUAAGCUUGGGAAACUGGGUCUAAUACCGGAUAGGACCAUGGUUUAGUGUCUCAUGGUGGAAAGAUUAUUGUUUUGGUGCAGGAUGAGCUCGCGGCCUAUCAGCUUGUUGGUGGGGUAAUGGCCUACCAAGGCGUCGACGGGUAGCCGGCCUGAGAGGGUGGACGGCCACAUUGGGACUGAGAUACGGCCCAGACUCCUACGGGAGGCAGCAGUGGGGAAUAUUGCACAAUGGGCGCAAGCCUGAUGCAGCGACGCCGCGUGGGGGAUGACGGCCUUCGGGUUGUAAACUCCUUUCGUUAGGGACGAAGCCGCACCUUUUUUUGGGUGUGGUGACGGUACCUUUGUUAAGAAGCACCGGCUAA